CACCUCCUCUCCUUUCUUUCUCCGGUAGAAAGCUUUCUAAAAAAAAGACAACAUAUCCAUGGGAGUCCUUUACCUCUUCUUUGGUUGUGUUGUUGUCUUGUCAAUUUGUCGGUUUUGUUUUGGACUCUCUCAAGUACUUUGUUAAUCUGAUGGAUUAAUCUAGGCUUCUAAGAAACAUUUUUUUUUUAAAUUUCUUCUUCUUCUUAUGCUUUCUGCUCCCACAAUCUCACGUUUUCUUCUCUGUGCAGUGUUCUUUUGGCAGUUUGUGAUUUUCCCAACUUUAAUCAACUUUUCAUCAUCUAUGAGGUACUUUCCCCUUUGUCUUUUUAUUUUCUCUUUCGGCCAUUUUUCUGGGGUUUAUGUUGUGGGUGUGUUGAAUUUUUUUGUGGGUGAUCAAUAAUUUGCUAAAUAAAGCCUUUUUGGCAUGUGGGUUUGUGAUUUUAUUUGGGUUUGGUGUUAAAGUUGUGGUCUUUUUGGAGUUUGGGUUGGUUUAGUUUUCCGGGGAAGUAGUGAUGGUGAUGUUGAUUCUUUGUUGCUUUGGUUUAUUUCGAAAAUCUUAAUGGGUGUUUAAAUUCAUGCUGAAUAUCACGCCCUAAACUUACUUUUACUCUAAUUCGACCCCUCAAUUUCCACACAAUUAUCACUGCUAAUCCAUCUAAUCUUCAACACAUUCUAAAAACCAAUUUCUCUGUUUAUCAAAAAGGCCAUAAUUCAAAUAACACUCUCGCUGAUUUCCUCAGUAAUGGCAUUUUCAACGUCGAUGGCGAUAUAUGGAAGUAUCAACGACAAGUUGCUAGCCACGAAUUCAAUACUAAAUCGCUACGAAAAUUCGUUGAAUCUGUAGUUGAUGUCGAGCACGGCUAUUUAGUUUCCUUCUCCAAGCUUGAGAUGGUGGUGCAGCACUAUCAAAAUCAAACUGCAGCAAGCAAAUACAAGCGAGAUCAUAACACUAUAAAAGAAUUGAACAUCACAAAAGUGAAAUAUCCCAGUGGAGGCAAAAAGCACUAGAUGAUUUAUUCUCCCUCUUCAAUCCUUUGUGGACACCACAAUUACCCAAAAAAAAAA
Molecule: long non-coding RNA, 1065 nt
Filed under: Solanum lycopersicum (tomato)
Lineage: Eukaryota; Viridiplantae; Streptophyta; Magnoliopsida; Solanales; Solanaceae
Description: partial TCONS_00070383
Source: RNAcentral